GACCCAAACUCAUCGUCUAUCCUAAUAUUUCGACUCUCAGAAUUGCAGGUUGCCACAAAAUUGUCCAGAUGAACAGGAACAACACAUUCAACUGCAACCUGUUUCUUCAACGGAGAUGCAAUAGAAUUGGCAACAAAUUGAUCAGAAUCAACCUCCGAAUUCUUUUGAGAGGUUAUUAUCUGGUCUUCAUAGACAACAUCCUCCACCAUCUGAGCAGAAAUUUCAUCAGACGUCUCAGUAGCAAGGGAUUCUUCAGGUUUUGGUCAUCGGUUGCACGGUGUCAGGAUCUUCUUUGAUGGAUUUUUUUCUAGUUGAGGUUCUGUAGGCAGUCCGUGGAAUCAAUGGUGAUUCAGUUGCAACAGUUUUUCCUGGCCACUGACAUUGGUUCCUGAGCCCAUCAAGUCCUUCAACCUGAGAAGACAUUGUUAUGCAAGAAUGUCAACUAUAAUUCUCUGUUGUAUUCAUCAGAAAAAGUUACAGCUGAUACAGCUUUUAAAAGGCUCUUCAAAGUCCUACUUAGGAUAGAAUUAAGAAGAUGUUUCUUCAAAAUCAAAAAGCACCUUUUACAAACAGUUUCUUGGCGAUCAUUCAGAAUCUUCAAGAAAAAAUUCACACCAAAUCAGGAUAUUAAAUUUAAAUCUGUAACUGCUUGAUUUUAAAAGAUCAAUAACUACAUGUCCAAUAAUUUCUUCUA
This is a long non-coding RNA of Mangifera indica (mango), 694 nucleotides long. RefSeq lists it as uncharacterized. The record is from RefSeq and is a predicted model, not a curated record. The transcript is spliced from 2 exons. NCBI's taxonomy places the organism in Eukaryota, Viridiplantae, Streptophyta, Magnoliopsida, Sapindales, Anacardiaceae.